UGCAUACUCCGGCUACGUGUGCAUUAA
RNAcentral lists this small RNA (27 nucleotides) under Bombyx mori (domestic silkworm). Its description in RNAcentral is "ovarian small RNA-33551". Lineage: Eukaryota; Metazoa; Arthropoda; Insecta; Lepidoptera; Bombycidae. The record is from RNAcentral.